AUACGGAGGAUCCGAGCGUUAUCCGGAUUUAUUGGGUUUAAAGGGAGCGUAGGUGGACAGUUAAGUCAGUUGUGAAAGUUUGCGGCUCAACCGUAAAAUUGCAGUUGAUACUGGCUGUCUUGAGUACAGUAGAGGUGGGCGGAAUUCGUGGUGUAGCGGUGAAAUGCUUAGAUAUCACGAAGAACUCCGAUUGCGAAGGCAGCCUGCUGGACUGUAACUGGCGCUGAUGCUCGAAAGUGUGGGUAUCAAACAGGAUUAGAUACCCUGGUAGUCCACACAGUAAACGAUGAAUACUCGCUGUUUGCGAUAUACAGUAAGCGGCCAAGCGAAAGCGUUAAGUAUUCCACCUGGGGAGUACGCCGGCAACGGUGAAACUCAAAUGAAUUGACGGGG
RNAcentral lists this ribosomal RNA (393 nucleotides) under uncultured bacterium. Its description in RNAcentral is "partial 16S ribosomal RNA". It matches the Rfam family "Bacterial small subunit ribosomal RNA", at positions 523 to 918 of the family's 1533-position model. The record is from RNAcentral.